Molecule: ribosomal RNA, 327 nt
Filed under: uncultured bacterium
Lineage: Bacteria
Description: bacterial SSU rRNA
Rfam family: Bacterial small subunit ribosomal RNA
Source: RNAcentral
GAUCGAACGGCGUGGCGGCGUGCGUUAACACAUGCAAGUCGAACGGGAACAGUUUAUUAGAAGCUUCGGCAGAUUUAGCUUGUUUCCAGUGGCGGACGGGUGAGUAACGCGUGGGUAACCUGCCUCACACUGGGGGAUAACAGUCAGAAAUGACUGCUAAUACCGCAUAAGCGCACGGGGCCGCAUGGUUUUGUGUGAAAAACUCCGGUGGUGUGAGAUGGACCCGCGUUGGAUUAGCCAGUUGGCAGGGUAACGGCCUACCAAAGCGACGAUCCAUAGCCGGCCUGAGAGGGUGAACGGCCACAUUGGGACUGAGACACGGUCCAA